Molecule: ribosomal RNA, 928 nt
Filed under: Candidatus Omnitrophota bacterium
Lineage: Bacteria; Pseudomonadati; Candidatus Omnitrophota
Description: partial 23S ribosomal RNA
Rfam family: Bacterial large subunit ribosomal RNA
Source: RNAcentral
GGUGUAACGAUUUGGGCACUGUCUCAAGGAGAGACUCGGUGAAAUUGUAGUGGCGGUGAAGAUGCCGCCUACCCGCAGCAGGACGAAAAGACCCCGGAACCUUUACUGCAGUCUGGUAUUGAGUGUGAGAAUUAUUUGUGUAGGAUAGGUGGGAGGCUGUGAAGCUAUGCCGCUAGGUAUGGCAGAGCCAUUGGUGAAAUACCACCCUGAUAAUUUUUAUAUUCUAACUUCGACCCUUGAAUCAGGGCGAGGAACAGUGCCAGAUGGGCAGUUUGACUGGGGCGGUUCCCUUCUAAAAUGUAACGAAGGGGUUCAAAGGUUCCCUUAGGACGGUUGGCAAUCGUCUUUCAAGUGCAAGGGCAUAUGGGAGCUUAACUGCGAGUCCGACAGGACGAGCAGAUGGGAAACCAGGACCUAGUGAUCCGGUGGUAGAUCAUGGGAUUGCCAUCGCUCAACGGACAAUAGGUACUCCGGGGAUAACAGGCUGAUAGCGUUCGAGAGUUCAUAUCGACAACGCUGUUUGGCACCUCGAUGUCGGCUCAUCGUAUCCUGGGGCUGGACAAGGUCCCAAGGGUCCGGCUGUUCGCCGGUUAAAACGGUACGCGAGCUGGGUUUAGAACGUCGUGAGACAGUUCGGUCUCUAUCCGCUGUGGGCGUUCGAUGCUUGAAGGGGAGCUCUCUCUAGUACGAGAGGACCGGGAGAGACAAACCUCUGGUGUUCCAGUUAUCCUGCCAAGGGUAAUGGCUGGGUAGCUACGUUUGGAAGGGAUAAGCGCUGAAUGCAUCUAAGUGCGAAGCCCCCCCCAAGAUUAGGCAUCGUAGUCGCAAGACGUGAGGCUCCUCGUAGACGACGAGGUUGAUAGGCUGCAUGUGUAAGACCAGUAAUGGUUUUAGCUAAGCAGUACUAAUAUGCCGAAUGCUUGACCUU